This 979-nucleotide long non-coding RNA is filed under the name Capsella grandiflora. RNAcentral's name for it is "long non-coding RNA (CGRA_LNC000254)". The record is from RNAcentral. Lineage: Eukaryota; Viridiplantae; Streptophyta; Magnoliopsida; Brassicales; Brassicaceae.
AUAUCCCUGAGAAGUUUACUUAUUUUCAAUUAAGAAUUUUAUUAUUUAGGGUUUUCAUAGUUUUUUCUACUAAGUAUAUAAGGACGCCAUCGUUUCUCUGAUAAGAUCGAGAGAGCAAGCACAAGAUGAGAGCCAAGGUUUGAUUUUUAUCCUUUCUUUUUAAACCAUUUGGUACUUUACUGUAUUCGUCGUUGCCUUGAGGGAUUGAUCAGUCUGCUGCUAGAAUUUAUGUUGAUCUUUGGGUAUGUUAGAAAUUUGUAAUUUGCUCUGUAUCGUAGUCACUGGCGAGAGACUGGAUCCUUGGAUAGACAGAACCAACUGUGUCAGAUCAAAUUGUUAGGGUUGUGAUUUGCACUCAUGGAAGAAACUGUUGAGAUAUUAUUCAUGUUCGGUUUUUGUUGAAUUUGCGAUUUCAUUUUCUGGAAAUAUAUGUAUGAGACUUUUGUUUGUAACAGAUGAAUUUUGGUCUUUAUCAUUUGGUAGUCUUUAAUAAAUGGUUUUCUGUUAACUUCAUAUUUGCAGUGGAAGAAGAAACGCAUGAGGAGGCUUAAGAGGAAGAGACGAAAGAUGAGACAGCGAUCUAAGUAGUACUCGUCUUCCUAGACAUCGCUCUCACUCUUGUUUCUUGCUUCUCUCAAACAUUCUUCUUUUUUUCUGUUUCCUUCUAAGUUUCAAGACAUUUUUGUUUUAAGAUUUUAAUGAGAGAAUUAUUUCAGACUUUGCUGCUUCGUCAACAUCGCUUACUGCUGUUUAUAUAUAUUUAUCCCACUGAAGAUUUUGGGAUUCCCACUAUGAAGCUUUUGCUGUUUAAUCAGUUACAUGGUUCUUGUUGAUCUAUAAUAUGUGGUUAUAAAACUGAAGCUUACAUGAAUCCUCGUCGUGCACAUAAAAAUGAUAAGAACAGUGAAAAAAAUUGUAUACUAAAGCUUUUAUAUAUGACUAAAAAAAGCCUCAUGGUAUUCCUCUUCUUCUCCUACCC